AUCAUUUUGGCAGAAAUUAUUGCAAAAGAUUUAGAAUCUUACAAACCUAAA
This 51-nucleotide transfer RNA is filed under the name Dysdera nesiotes. Its description in RNAcentral is "tRNA-Leu". The record is from RNAcentral. Lineage: Eukaryota; Metazoa; Arthropoda; Arachnida; Araneae; Dysderidae.